GGUUAAGCGACUAAGCGUACACGGUGGAUGCCCUGGCAGUCAGAGGCGAUGAAGGACGUGCUAAUCUGCGAAAAGCGUCGGUAAGGUGAUAUGAACCGUUAUAACCGGCGAUGUCCGAAUGGGGAAACCCAGUGCAAUUCGUUGCACUAUCGUUAACUGAAUACAUAGGUUAACGAGGCGAACCGGGGGAACUGAAACAUCUAAGUACCCCGAGGAAAAGAAAUCAACCGAGAUUCCCCCAGUAGCGGCGAGCGAACGGGGAGCAGCCCAGAGUCUGAAUCAGCUUGUGUGUUAGUGGAACGGUCUGGAAAGUCCGACGGUACAGGGUGAUAGUCCCGUACACCAAAAUGCACAGGCUGUGAACUCGAAGAGUAGGGCGGGACACGUGGUAUCCUGUCUGAAUAUGGGGGGACCAUCCUCCAAGGCUAAAUACUCCUGACUGACCGAUAGUGAACCAGUACCGUGAGGGAAAGGCGAAAAGAACCCCGGCGAGGGGAGUGAAAAAGAACCUGAAACCGUGUACGUACAAGCAGUGGGAGCACCUUCGGGUGUGACUGCGUACCUUUUGUAUAAUGGGUCAGCGACUUAUAUUCUGUAGCAAGGUUAACCGUAUAGGGGAGCCGCAGGGAAACCGAGUCUUAACUGGGCGUUAAGUUGCAGGGUAUAGACCCGAAACCCGGUGAUCUAGCCAUGGGCAGGUUGAAGGUUGGGUAACACUAACUGGAGGACCGAACCGACUAAUGUUGAAAAAUUAGCGGAUGACUUGUGGCUGGGGGUGAAAGGCCAAUCAAACCGGGAGAUAGCUGGUUCUCCCCGAAAGCUAUUUAGGUAGCGCCUCGUGAAUUCAUCUUCGGGGGUAGAGCACUGUUUCGGCUAGGGGGUCAUCCCGACUUACCAACCCGAUGCAAACUACGAAUACCGAAGAAUGUUAUCACGGGAGACACACGGCGGGUGCUAACGUCCGUCGUGAAGAGGGAAACAACCCAGACCGCCAGCUAAGGUCCCAAAGUCAUGGUUAAGUGGGAAACGAUGUGGGAAGGCACAGACAGCCAGGAUGUUGGCUUAGAAGCAGCCAUCAUUUAAAGAAAGCGUAAUAGCUCACUGGUCGAGUCGGCCUGCGCGGAAGAUGUAACGGGGCUAAACCAUGCACCGAAGCUGCGGCAGCGACACUAUGUGUUGUUGGGUAGGGGAGCGUUCUGUAAGCCUGCGAAGGUGACCUGUGAGGGUUGCUGGAGGUAUCAGAAGUGCGAAUGCUGACAUAAGUAACGAUAAAGCGGGUGAAAAGCCCGCUCGCCGGAAGACCAAGGGUUCCUGUCCAACGUUAAUCGGGGCAGGGUGAGUCGACCCCUAAGGCGAGGCCGAAAGGCGUAGUCGAUGGGAAACAGGUUAAUAUUCCUGUACUUGGUGUUACUGCGAAGGGGGGACGGAGAAGGCUAUGUUAGCCGGGCGACGGUUGUCCCGGUUUAAGCAUGUAGGCUGGUUGUCCAGGCAAAUCCGGAUAAUCAAGGCUGAGGUGUGAUGACGAGGCACUACGGUGCUGAAGUAACAAAUGCCCUGCUUCCAGGAAAAGCCUCUAAGCAUCAGGUAACAUUAAAUCGUACCCCAAACCGACACAGGUGGUCAGGUAGAGAAUACCAAGGCGCUUGAGAGAACUCGGGUGAAGGAACUAGGCAAAAUGGUGCCGUAACUUCGGGAGAAGGCACGCUGGUGUGUAGGUGAAGCCCCUGCGGGUGGAGCUGAGACCAGUCGAAGAUACCAGCUGGCUGCAACUGUUUAUUAAAAACACAGCACUGUGCAAACACGAAAGUGGACGUAUACGGUGUGACGCCUGCCCGGUGCCGGAAGGUUAAUUGAUGGGGUUAUCCGUAAGGAGAAGCUCUUGAUCGAAGCCCCGGUAAACGGCGGCCGUAACUAUAACGGUCCUAAGGUAGCGAAAUUCCUUGUCGGGUAAGUUCCGACCUGCACGAAUGGCGUAAUGAUGGCCAGGCUGUCUCCACCCGAGACUCAGUGAAAUUGAACUCGCUGUGAAGAUGCAGUGUACCCGCGGCAAGACGGAAAGACCCCGUGAACCUUUACUAUAGCUUGACACUGAACAUUGAGCCUUGAUGUGUAGGAUAGGUGGGAGGCUUUGAAGCGUGGACGCCAGUCUGCGUGGAGCCAACCUUGAAAUACCACCCUUUAAUGUUUGAUGUUCUAACGUUGGCCCCUGACCGGGGUUGCGGACAGUGUCUGGUGGGUAGUUUGACUGGGGCGGUCUCCUCCCAAAGCGUAACGGAGGAGCACGAAGGUUAGCUAAUCCUGGUCGGACAUCAGGAGGUUAGUGCAAUGGCAUAAGCUAGCUUGACUGCGAGCGUGACGGCGCGAGCAGGUGCGAAAGCAGGUCAUAGUGAUCCGGUGGUUCUGAAUGGAAGGGCCAUCGCUCAACGGAUAAAAGGUACUCCGGGGAUAACAGGCUGAUACCGCCCAAGAGUUCAUAUCGACGGCGGUGUUUGGCACCUCGAUGUCGGCUCAUCACAUCCUGGGGCUGAAGUAGGUCCCAAGGGUAUGGCUGUUCGCCAUUUAAAGUGGUACGCGAGCUGGGUUUAGAACGUCGUGAGACAGUUCGGUCCCUAUCUGCCGUGGGCGCUGGAGAAUUGAGGGGGGCUGCUCCUAGUACGAGAGGACCGGAGUGGACGCAUCACUGGUGUUCGGGUUGUCAUGCCAAUGGCACUGCCCGGUAGCUAAAUGCGGAAGAGAUAAGUGCUGAAAGCAUCUAAGCACGAAACUUGCCCCGAGAUGAGUUCUCCCUGAGACUUUAAGUCUCCUGAAGGAACGUUGAAGACGACGACGUUGAUAGGCCGGGUGUGUAAGCGCAGCGAUGCGUUGAGCUAACCGGUACUAAUGAACCGUGAGGCUUAACCUU
Molecule: ribosomal RNA, 2902 nt
Filed under: Klebsiella pneumoniae
Lineage: Bacteria; Pseudomonadati; Pseudomonadota; Gammaproteobacteria; Enterobacterales; Enterobacteriaceae
Description: 23S ribosomal RNA
Rfam family: Bacterial large subunit ribosomal RNA
Source: RNAcentral